RNAcentral lists this microRNA precursor (85 nucleotides) under Chlorocebus sabaeus (green monkey). RNAcentral describes it as "miRNA (ENSCSAG00000022314.1)". Lineage: Eukaryota; Metazoa; Chordata; Mammalia; Primates; Cercopithecidae. The record is from RNAcentral.
UAACUACUAGGUUGGAGCAAAAGUAAUUGUGGUUUUUGCCAUUGAAAGUAAUAGGCAAAAACCUAAUACCUUGAAUGUAAGCUGA